UCCUUUUACACAAAUUGUGUACAGCGUUUUCCUCUCCUCCGUCGUCGUCUUCUUCUCUUUGAUCCAGAUCUCCUUUUCUCUCUUGUCAUACAUGUCUUCGUCCUCAGGAUUUGUUAGAUCGCUACACGAUCUAUUUUCUGAUCCAGUUGUAAGAUCUAUCUUUCCUGAAGGUUUAUAAUCACCCCUGAGGUUCCUGGAUGAUUAUUCAUCUCGUCAUCUUCCGAGUCUUCGAUUCAGAUCGUUGACCAAGGAUGAUUGUAGAGGAUUAGAGGCUGUUGAAGAGCAAUAUAAGAAAUAAUAUGAUAUAUAUCACAUGUAAUAUAGUAUAAUAUGGAUGUGUAAGAUGUCGGGGCGAAAAGGCUUCUAAAUUGAAGAGGCCGAUUGAGUCCUGAUUAAUCUUUGUCAUCCGACCUUUGCCAUGACAGGUGCGCUUGCGUGGCAGGUCACUCAUAUUUUUAAUAAAGUUAUAAGUUUUUUGGUUUCGGAGGAGAGAUCGCACGGGUAUUGCCCGGGUUCUCUUCUCCCUGUGCUGUGUCCUUCUUUCUUCUCUUCUUUCUGUACUAUUGAUGUCCAUAUUCUGUUGCUCUUCGGAUGACACAUCAACAGCAAUUGAUUCUCUCUCGCAAAAUGCAAUACCCAAAGGUAAAAUUUACAGUUUACAUCCAAUUGCUCAGUUUGAGAGUCCUCACCUUUAUGCAAUUCCUCUCAACUGCUGGGUAUUCCUGAUAGGCCUUAAAAAUUAUGUGAAUAAUAUAUCUGACAGACGAUAUAUUAAUAUUUGUCAUUCACAGUUACGCUUAGAAUUGCAAGGAGUUCAACAGAACACAUCUCACUUAUUGAUUUUCAAAGGUACAAUGGAAUUUAGUUUUACUUGUUAAAGUUACCUGCAGGCUACUUUAAUUAAUUAUAUAUAUGUUAUUAUCCAUUGACGAAGUUCAAAGCUUAAUCAUAUUUGUUUACAGUCGAAUGUGUGAAAAUUACAAUAAUUAGUUUGUUUUAGUACACAAGUAAUAUCAUAACUACAUACAUUAAUCUUCCAAGCUUCCUAGUAUACAAUUUUCCUCUCGCUUCCUUGCUUGGUGUUUCUUUUGUAUUGUACGCAUGUAGUCUUUUCUAUGGGGGCUGGCAAUUCUUCUGUACCAUUUGGGUUUGGAAGGUGAUUGAUGGAGAAGAGUUGGAUGAUAUUUGAUUCACAUAGUUUUUGAGUGGUGGAAUUAUUGAAGUCCCUCCUGAAGAGCAUUUCAACACUCCUAAAGAAUUGAUUCGCAUGGGAGCAUAAGAAGAUUCCAGAUGCUUACAAUGCACCACCACUGCAGUAGCAAGGUGUGGAAUAAAUUUUGAAGAUUGCCAGAGCUUUUUAUGUCAUUAUUCAUUUGCAGCCAGUUACUCUCAUCAAUUAAGCUUGUAAGGCUGAGUAAUGAAGUAAUUGAGGUGAUGGCAGUCAAAUCUUAUUAUUCUAAAACCAAGGCGUUGAGUUAUUCAAUCUGUAGAAGACAACUAGCUCCUCGACUUCGAUCUUUUGUUUGUUGUCGGCUCAUGAUGACAAAUUGAAGUUGAGGAGUGCACAAAGAUUAACCGACUCUUUGUUUUCAUGCACGAUGAAGCCACAUCAAAGGGAUUUUGCUCAGGAGAGAGGCGCCAGGAGGGAGAGUUUGGUGUGUUGAAGAAGGCAAUUGGCAGUUGUUUUGGUGGCAGGAAAAUGUUUGGUUUUUAGGGUUUUAAAAAAUGGACUUUGGAGACGGAAAUAUUAUUUUUAAAAACUUAAUUUAAGAGAAAUUGAUAGUUUUUAAGGUUUAAGGGGAGAAAAAAGAUAAAAUUUUAAUUUAUUAUAAGUAAAAUUGAUGAUUUUAUCUUUAAAAUUGAUUCUUUGUUUUAAAAGAUAAUGGGUGGAAAUGUGGAAAAAAAAGAUUAAAGUAUAAAUAGCAUAAUCUUUUAUUCCAGGAUUGAUAUUAAUUUUAGUGGAUGAAUCAAGUUAUGUCUGAGGGUACAAUUUUAAUUUUAUCUAAAGUUUUCAUUAUAAA
Mangifera indica (mango) is the source of this 2021-nucleotide long non-coding RNA. RefSeq lists it as uncharacterized. The transcript is spliced from 4 exons. The record is from RefSeq and is a predicted model, not a curated record. Lineage: Eukaryota; Viridiplantae; Streptophyta; Magnoliopsida; Sapindales; Anacardiaceae.